This 259-nucleotide ribosomal RNA is filed under the name uncultured bacterium. Its description in RNAcentral is "partial 16S ribosomal RNA". It matches the Rfam family "Bacterial small subunit ribosomal RNA", at positions 524 to 783 of the family's 1533-position model. The record is from RNAcentral.
GACGGAGGAUGCAAGUGUUAUCCGGAAUCACUGGGCGUAAAGCGUCUGUAGGUGGUUAAUAAGUCAACUGUUAAAUCUUGAGGCUCAACCUCAAAAUCGCAGUCGAAACUAUUAGGCUAGAGUAUAGUAGGGUAAAGGGAAUUUCCAGUGGAGCGGUGAAAUGCGUAGAGAUUGGAAAGAACACCGAUGGCGAAGGCACUUUACUGGGCUAUUACUAACACUCAGAGACGAAAGCUAGGGUAGCAAAUGGGAUUAAGAU